UGGGGAAUAUUGGGCAAUGGGGGAAACCCUGACCCAGCAACGCCGCGUGAAGGACGAAGGCCUUCGGGUUGUAAACUUCUUUGAUCAGGGACGAAAGCAAUGACGGUACCUGAAGAACAAGCCACGGCUAACUACGUGCC
This 140-nucleotide ribosomal RNA is filed under the name uncultured bacterium. RNAcentral describes it as "partial 16S ribosomal RNA". It matches the Rfam family "Bacterial small subunit ribosomal RNA", at positions 355 to 509 of the family's 1533-position model. The record is from RNAcentral.